RNAcentral lists this long non-coding RNA (389 nucleotides) under Homo sapiens (human). Its description in RNAcentral is "HSALNT0137428". Lineage: Eukaryota; Metazoa; Chordata; Mammalia; Primates; Hominidae. The record is from RNAcentral.
GGAAAAUAUAGAUGAAUCCAUUCAAACUUGCAUAAUGAGAAUGACUAGAACACACACGUAUUUCCAUUAAGGAAAAAAAAUCAAGAUGGCCUGAAACUUGGUUGUUUCAAAGAAAGCUGUUGGCCCAUCUCCCCACUUCACCUGACUCCCAUUCCCACACAGGCAACCCAACACAUUCAAGGUCAUGUCGGAACAGCUAACCUGACAGGGUGGGAUGCGGCCUACUGCUCUGAAGACUCGAAAUGCUGACGGCACCCUAUUAGCUUUCUGUUCACUUCAGUCAACUUCCUUCUCAUGGUCUAUCCUCUUCCAUAUCGUGAUGCCUUCCUUCCAUGUAUCAUCCAUCUUACAUCAUUGUGUAUAUCACACUAAGUGUCAAUAAAGUGUUC